This is a non-coding RNA of Paramisgurnus dabryanus, 706 nucleotides long. The record is from RefSeq and is a predicted model, not a curated record. Lineage: Eukaryota; Metazoa; Chordata; Actinopteri; Cypriniformes; Cobitidae.
CAAAUGUAAUAUCUGCUGUUUAAGUGUUUUUUUUUUCUGUAAACAGAUGCUGGAUUAAACCGGAGAAAGGCUUUAUCUGGAGUUUUCUAGGACCUGUUUGCUUCAUUCUUGCAAUAAACAUGAUUCUCUUCAUCAGUAUCUUCAUCAGUGUGAAGUUAACUCUCAAAAACCUCAACCUUGACGUUUCACACAUAAGACAAACCAAGAUUACUAUUUUUAAAAUUCUGUCCCAGUUUGUGAUUUUUGGUUGUCCCUGGAUUCUGGGUUUCUUCAUUCAUUACAGUAAGAUGUUUGAGUUUCUCUUUCUAAUCCUGAACUCACAGCAAGGAACCUUCAUCUUCCUCGUCUUCUGUGUCCUCAAUAAUGAGGUGAGACAACAGUAUGUAAAGUGGAUGAGAGCUGUCUUUCCCGGACUCGAACCAAAUACCUUAUAAGAUGCCCCCACCCAAAAAAAUUAUUACAGUUAAAUAUAACUACAUUUAACGUUUAUGCAUUCAUAGUCUUAUUUUCUGUAAAUGUCAUUGAUAAACAUUCCAUAAUUUAUACAAUAAUGCAAAAAUACAGUCAAUGUAAAUACAAUAUUUACUCUUGUUUAGGGAACAACAUUUAAAACUGCUAGUCUGCUUUUGCUGCAAUAGAAACCACAGGUGUGUUUCACUUAAUGUGACACUGAGCAGACCGAUUGCUACAGUAUUUCUAAAGCUUA